Molecule: long non-coding RNA, 1035 nt
Filed under: Sarcophilus harrisii (Tasmanian devil)
Lineage: Eukaryota; Metazoa; Chordata; Mammalia; Dasyuromorphia; Dasyuridae
Description: lncRNA (ENSSHAG00000028201.1)
Source: RNAcentral
AUGGGAAGGAAGGAGGGGGUGGGGCAGGGGUCUCCUGGCUGCCCCCCCCGGAGCCCUCAGGGAGUGACCCUUCCCACAGCCCCCCCCCCCCGCAUUACUAGGUGGGCGCUGCGGUUCGCUGCCUUAGACAUGAAUGAUUCAUUGCUGAGGAGCCGGAGAUUGGGCCCGGGGCCUGUGAGAUCUGAGCCCUGCCAGGCACCAUCUGACACCUGGAAAGUAACACCGGCCGAGCCCCAGGAGAGGAGAGCAAGCGGGCAGCCACGUCCCCUUGGGCUUUCUGGGCUCGGGCUCUCUGCGCUCGGGGGCCGCGCGCUCAGAAACGCCUCUCGUUGCCUUCCGAUUUUAGUCAAAGCGACGUCUCUGUGCUGGGAGAGCGGAGAAAGGGCCGCGCCGCGUCCUCCUUGUCCACAAGAGGGAACUGAGACCUGGAGAGAAGCAGCCGCUCCUGAGGUCGUGGGGACGGCUCGUCUGGCCAGGUGGCGAUCGGCUGCGGCUGCCUCAGGCCGGGAGUCCUCCCGGAUCGGCGCUGGCGGUCAGAGCCCAGCGGUCUGGCCCAGCCUGAUGGGGGAGCCCGGGCCCUGGGGAUCAGAGGGAGCCUCCCGAGGCCAGGCCGUGGGGAUCAGAGGGAGCCCCCCGGAGGCUGGAGUAGGAGCAGAUGUUGCCCGAAGCAGCAGCUGCAGCCUCCGAGGGGCCGGGGCUCCAGGGCAGGCGACCUCCAGCCCAGGCAGCUCAGCUUGGGCAUCUUGGCACUUUCAGCCCCUCCGCAGGCACAAAGCGGGUCAGCUGUGGGACUGGGGGUUCACGCCCCUCUUGUCCUCCCUCCUCCUCCAUGGUCAGGGGGAGGCGGCCGAGCCUUUCCAGCGGGGAAGCAGCUUUCACAGCCUGGGCCUGCCUCAGUCCGAGGGGCCCCAGGCUGGAUCCCCUGGGCUCCAAAAAGCGGGCCGGGGGCCUGGAGGGGGGUUCUGCUGGGUCACAGGGGGACCCGGAGGCCCAGGAAGGCCGGGCUGGGCAGGACUCUGGGACACGGACCCCUGA